ACUUUCAAAGGAUAAUAGUAAUCCAAUGGUCUUAGGAGCCACACAUCUUGGUGCAAAUCCAAGUGAAAGUA
Molecule: transfer RNA, 71 nt
Filed under: Bombycilla garrulus
Lineage: Eukaryota; Metazoa; Chordata; Aves; Passeriformes; Bombycillidae
Rfam family: tRNA
About the family: Transfer RNA (tRNA) molecules are approximately 80 nucleotides in length. Their secondary structure includes four short double-helical elements and three loops (D, anti-codon, and T loops). Further hydrogen bonds mediate the characteristic L-shaped molecular structure. tRNAs have two regions of fundamental functional importance: the anti-codon, which is responsible for specific mRNA codon recognition, and the 3' end, to which the tRNAs corresponding amino acid is attached (by aminoacyl-tRNA synthetases). tRNAs cope with the degeneracy of the genetic code in two manners: having more than one tRNA (with a specific anti-codon) for a particular amino acid; and 'wobble' base-pairing, i.e. permitting non-standard base-pairing at the 3rd anti-codon position.
Source: Rfam by way of RNAcentral